CGAGUAAGUACAUCUUAGCUGAAGCUUCUGCUUUAUGUGAUUUCUUGGCUUUCAUGAUUUCAUUAUUGUUAAGCAAUUAGGAUUCAGAUGAUUGAGAUUCAAUAUGCUUAGCACACAACUACAUUCAUAGAAGGAACCUUUACUAACUUCUCCAAGGGUUUAUCAUCUUCUCUCCAUUGUGGUUAAAGAAGUUUCUCUGCCGAUGGUGUUCCAAUGCUGCCUAGUAGUUUAGUUGGAAAUAUGUCCCUUGUAGUGUCAUGAGUCUCAUGAGAGGGAAAAUUUUGGUGCAAGGCAUAUAUUUUGGUUCCUAGUUUCGGUGCCUGGAGUUGCUUUAACCAAUAGAUUAUUUCCAAGGCUACUAGGCUAAGUAAAAUUUCUAGGGACCCAACAUUCUACAUGCGAGUUCUUUUUAAUGUCAAUUUCACAAUUGAAUAUGAUUUAUGGCAAUUUCUUUCUUCUCUCAGCUCGUCAUUAAUCUCAAGAACCUUUUAUUGUAUAUGCCUAUGAAAUGUGUGCUCCUUGUCCAUUUUGCUGAAACUACUUUACCAUUUGCAGCUGUCAGCCAUGGAGAUUGGUAAGUACAAAAUACGAGUCAAUGCAGUUGCUCGUGGGUUGCAUUUAGAUGAUGAGUAUCCUCGAUCAGUGGGGAAGGAGAGGGCCGAGAAGUCCACGGCAGAUAUAAUGCCACUGAUGAGGUGGCUUGAUCCGAAGAAUGAUCUUGCUUCCACUGUGAUAUACCUGGUGGGCGAUGACUCCCGCUACAUG
This 765-nucleotide long non-coding RNA is filed under the name Musa acuminata (dwarf banana). RNAcentral describes it as "long non-coding RNA (MACU_LNC001956)". Lineage: Eukaryota; Viridiplantae; Streptophyta; Magnoliopsida; Zingiberales; Musaceae. The record is from RNAcentral.